Molecule: ribosomal RNA, 1947 nt
Filed under: human gut metagenome
Description: bacterial LSU rRNA
Rfam family: Bacterial large subunit ribosomal RNA
Source: RNAcentral
UCAAGUGACUAAGUGUAUGUGGUGGAUGCCUUGGCGAUCACAGGCGAUGAAGGACGUGACAGCCUGCGAAAAGCUGCGGGGAGUUGGCAAAUAAACUUUGAUCCGCAGAUGUCCGAAUGGGGGAACCCACCUCUUUUGAGGUAUCUCUAGCUGAAUACAUAGGCUAGGGAGGCGAACGGAGUGAACUGAAACAUCUAAGUAACUCCAGGAAAAGAAAUCAACCGAGAUUCCGAAAGUAGCGGCGAGCGAAAUUGGAUCAGCCUAAUGCUCGAUAACAACGGCUAAUACUGGCACAGUCUGGAAAGUCUGGCUAUAGAGGGUGAUAGCCCCGUACAGGAAAUUAGCGUUGUGGUACUAAGUGCAUGAAAAGUAGGGCGGGACACGUGACAUCCUGUCCGAAGAUGGGGGGACCAUCCUCCAAGGCUAAAUACUCGUGAUCGACCGAUAGCGUACCAGUACUGUGAAGGAAAGGCGAAAAGAACCCCGGGAGGGGAGUGAAAUAGAACCUGAAACCGCAUACAUACAAACAGUAGGAGCCUCGUUAAGGGGUGACUGCGUACCUUUUGCAUAAUGGGUCAGCGACUUACGUUUAAUGGCAAGCUUAACCGAUUAGGGGAGGCGUAGCGAAAGCGAGUUCGAAUAGAGCGAUUUGAGUCGUUAGGCGUAGACCCGAAACCAGAUGAUCUAUCCAUGGUCAGGUUGAAGAUGUGGUAACACACAUUGGAGGACCGAACCGACUAGUGUUGCAAAAUUAGCGGAUGAACUGUGGAUAGGGGUGAAAGGCUAAACAAAUCUGGAGAUAGCUGGUUCUCCCCGAAAACUAUUGAGGUAGUGCCUCGUGUAUAACUCCAGGGGGUAGAGCACUGUUAUGGCUAGGGGGACAUGGCGUCUUACCAAACCAUGGCAAACUCCGAAUACUUGGAAGUUGAGCACGGGAGACAGAGCACCGGGUGCUAACGUCCGGACUCAAGAGGGAAACAACCCAGACCGCCGGCUAAGGUCCCUAAUAUUGUCUAAGUGGAAAACGAAGUGGAAAGGCUAAAACAGUCAGGAAGUUGGCUUAGAAGCAGCCAUCCUUUAAAGAAAGCGUAAUAGCUCACUGAUCGAGUCUUUCUGCGCGGAAGAUGUAACGGGGCUAAGACAAUAACCGAAGCCGCGGAUUCACACGUAAGUGUGAGUGGUAGGGGAGCGUUCUGUAAGCCUGCGAAGGUGGCUUGUAAAGGCUGCUGGAGGUAUCAGAAGUGCGAAUGCUGACAUGAGUAACGUUAAAGUGGGUGAAAAGCCCACUCGCCGUAAGCCCAAGGUUUCCUGCUCUACGUUCAUCGGAGCAGGGUGAGUCGGCCCCUAAGGUGAGGCUGAUAAGCGUAACUGAUGGGAACAAGGUUAAUAUUCCUUGACCGCCGUUGAGUGCGAAGGGGGGACGGAGUAUUGAAGAUCAUCCGGGUGUUGGAUAUCCCGGUUUGCGCGCGUAGGAGGCUGAUAGGCAAAUCCGUCAGCGAAUCUCCGAGGCAAAGCAUCGAGACCUUUUAGGUCGAAGUGAUUGGAUGUGCUCCCAGGAAAAGCCUCUAAGCUCCAGCUCAACGGGACCGUACCGCAAACCGACACUGGUGGGCGAGCUGAAUAUGCUCAGGCGCUUGAGAGAACUCAGGAGAAGGAACUCGGCAAAUUGACACCGUAACUUCGGGAUAAGGUGUGCCUUUGUAGUGUGAAGGAAGAAACAUCCGGAGCAUGAAGAGGUCUCAGAGAAUUGGUGGCUGCGACUGUUUACUAAAAACACAGCACUCUGCAAAGACGAAAGUCGACGUAUAGGGUGUGAUGCCUGCCCGGUGCUGGAAGAUUAAUUGAUGGGGUGCAAGCUCCUGAUCGAAGUCCCAGUAAACGGCGGCCGUAACUAUAACGGUCCUAAGGUAGCGAAAUUCCUUGUCGGGCAAGUUCCGACCUGCACGA